Small nucleolar RNA from Gossypium arboreum, 107 nucleotides. It matches the Rfam family "Plant small nucleolar RNA R71". Rfam says of the family: R71 is a member of the C/D box family of snoRNAs containing the C (UGAUGA) and D (CUGA) box motifs. Multiple nearly identical copies of this snoRNA have been identified in Arabidopsis, and it is thought to function as a 2'-O-ribose methylation guide for 18S ribosomal RNA. The record is from Rfam. Lineage: Eukaryota; Viridiplantae; Streptophyta; Magnoliopsida; Malvales; Malvaceae.
AUUCCAUAAUGAGGGCAUCUUCGUAAUAGUUCUUUGAAUCUUUCUGACACCUCAUACAAGGACUCAUCAUCCAUCUAUUAAAAGGUAGUGAUCUCAUUCCUCAACUU